RNAcentral lists this ribosomal RNA (253 nucleotides) under uncultured bacterium. RNAcentral describes it as "partial 16S ribosomal RNA". It matches the Rfam family "Bacterial small subunit ribosomal RNA", at positions 524 to 776 of the family's 1533-position model. The record is from RNAcentral.
UACGUAGGGUGCAAGCGUUAUUCGGAAUUACUGGGCGUAAAGCGUGCGUAGGCGGGUAUGUAAGACAGAGGUGAAAUCCCCGGGCUCAACCUGGGAACGGCCUUUGUGACUGCAUAGCUAGAGUCCGGUAGAGGGGGAUGGAAUUCCGCGUGUAGCAGUGAAAUGCGUAGAUAUGCGGAGGAACACCAGUGGCGAAGGCGAUCUGCUAGGCCUGACCUGACACUCAGACGCGACAGCGUGGGGAGCGAACAGG